CCUACGGGAGGCAGCAGUAAGGAAUAUUGGUCAAUGGACGCAAGUCUGAACCAGCCAUGCCGCGUGAAGGAUUAAGGCCCUCUGGGUUGUAAACUUCUUUUAUAGGGGACGAAAAAAGGGCAUUCUUGCUCACUUGACGGUACCCUAGGAAUAAGCACCGGCUAACUCCGUGCCAGCAGCCGCGGUAAUACGGAGGGUGCAAGCGUUAUCCGGAUUUACUGGGUUUAAAGGGUGCGUAGGUGGGUUGGUAAGUCAGUGGUGAAAUCUUCGAGCUUAACUCGGAAACUGCCAUUGAUACUAUCAAUCUUGAAUCAUCUAGAGGUAAGCGGAAUAUGUCAUGUAGCGGUGAAAUGCUUAGAUAUGACAUAGAACACCAAUUGCGAAGGCAGCUUACUAUGGAUGCAUUGACACUGAGGCACGAAAGCGUGGGGAUCAAACAGGAUUAAGAUACCCUGGUAGUCCACGCCCUAAACGAUGGAUACUCGACAUUUGUGAUAUACAAUAAGUGUCUGAGCGAAAGCAUUAAGUAUCCCACCUGGGAAGUACGACCGCAAGGUUGAAACUUCAAAGUUGAGUUAGAGCGNGAGAGAGCGACGACGACGACGAGGAGGAGGAG
Molecule: ribosomal RNA, 616 nt
Filed under: uncultured bacterium
Lineage: Bacteria
Description: bacterial SSU rRNA
Rfam family: Bacterial small subunit ribosomal RNA
Source: RNAcentral